Molecule: long non-coding RNA, 1356 nt
Filed under: Gouania willdenowi (blunt-snouted clingfish)
Lineage: Eukaryota; Metazoa; Chordata; Actinopteri; Blenniiformes; Gobiesocidae
Description: lncRNA (ENSGWIG00000017037.1)
Source: RNAcentral
AAAAAGAGUUAUCUCCUGCUUUCAUGUUCUAAAGCUCUUUCAUCUUCUCAUAGAGCUCACAGUGUUCACUCGUGUUCCAAUAUAAGCAGUUCUUCAGCAUCUUUUCUUCAUUGAUCGCUAUUUCUUUGACUCAUUUACUUUUGUUCAUUAUUAUCUGUAUAUUUCCUUCUCUGAGUGUAUUUUUCUGAGCAUCGAUGGAGCUUUUUCAAGAAGGCACCUAUCGUCCCAUCGGGGUGCUGUUCGACACUCCUGUUUAUAGACAGAUUUUUCAGAACUGUUGGCAUAUGCCCUCCUACAAAGUUCAUGUAGCUAUGGUGGCUGAACUCCUGAGGUUACAGAAGGAGAACCAACUUCUGUCUGAGGUGACUCCUGAAGACAUGGCUCGACACCUCCAUGUAAUGAGCAAACGCAGUCUAAGGGUGCAGCUGCUGGACUUUCAGCUGCAGGAAUACGAUAACGAUGAUGAUGAUGAGGUUAGGAUGCUUCUCAGCAUGGCGAGGGAGGUCAACGACAGCAUGAGGAUGAGGGAUAUUCAGCUGGAUGCUCAAAGGCUGAUCAGCGCUCCAGAGCUCAUGCCUCCAAACUUUAUAUCAGCAAAGAUGAAGCAAGAGGCAAAGGCCAUUGGGGAGGUGCUCACUGAGAGGCAUCAGCAAACCUCCUGCUCUGAACAUCUCCAGCAGCCCCGGGACGUGGUUUUGGACGUGGUUCCAAAGGUGCUUCAGGGCUUGUGGGUGCCUAAACCAAGGUUGUUCCUCACCAUGCCUUCCAUGAAGCUGGAUAAGAUGGCAGUUGGAGUCACCAAAGGGGUAGAAGAUGAUGUUCUAGCAGCCCUAGGCUCCACCACACAUGAAGUAAACAUGUCCCGCUCAUCCAGGGAUGAGAUGAUCACCUCCAUCAUUAAGACACUUCAUGAAGCCUACCCCGAAGACAUCAGGAGGAAGAUGCUGAACUCAUUUUCUCCACAGUUGAUGCACCACGUUGCUGAAGUUACAGCUGAACAGAUCAUGGCUUUGUUUCAGCCUCGGGGGAAACAAGAUGAUACCAAGUCCCUCCCUGAGGAGCCCACGUUCCUCCAUGAGGAGCCCACGACCCUCCAUGAGGAGCCGACGUCUCUCCCUGACGAGACCAAGUCUCUCCAUGAGGAGCCCACGUUCCUCCAUGAGGAGCCCACGACCCUCCAUGAGGAGCACACGUCACUCCCUGACAAGACCACGUCUCUAAAUGAGGAGCCCACGUUCCUCCAUGAGCAGUCAGCAGUGAAGGUGGAGGAAUCUCGAAAGAAGAAAAAGAGUCAAAUGAACCGAUUCAUCAGGUGGAUGCAGAAGAGGCUCUUCACCCGCAUCCAUCCUCAGUGAC